Molecule: non-coding RNA, 917 nt
Organism: Pelobates cultripes (western spadefoot toad)
Lineage: Eukaryota; Metazoa; Chordata; Amphibia; Anura; Pelobatidae
Source: the annotation of a GenBank genome assembly
CAGAAAUGUAAAGAAACAGCCCUAGUCCUGAACGGUGAGAAACAUGGCUGCACAAAUUCAACAUUUUUAAUAUUUAAAUGUACUUGUUAUCUGCCGAUUUGGUCAGGCUGCUGUGGACGAUGUAAAUACAGAACGCAAAGCUCAUGCAAUUACUGAAAGGGAUGCUAUAGUGUAAGGAAUACAAAGUUUUAUUCCUUACAUUAGUUACCUUAGAUCUGCCCUCGUUGGCACAGAAAUGAAAAUAAAAAUCUCAUAGAUUGGCCAUGGCACUGGGUCGGUACUGCGCUUCCUCCAACAGCAGGGCUAAUAAGCGGCGAGUGCUUUAGGGCCUCCCCAGAGGAAGUCAUUGCUUUUUAUCCUGCAAUGACCAAAUAUGGACAUUCAAUUACCAUUUCUUGCUGCUACACCUGUCUCCAAUAUGGUAAAUUGGAGGCAUAUAUAGGUGGGUCAGCAAAUGGGAGGAUAUACUGCACUUGAAAAAGACCCUGGAGGGUCGAAACGCAUUGUGCUAGCUGCUGUGCCAGCCAUUUCUGCUUUUAUUAUUUUAUAACAAAUAAAUGUUUAACACUUCACCUUACCUGGUUCCUGCUAAGAAAAACUUAUUACAAACAUCUAAGAGGAGGAUCAGAUCCAGUGUAUCCCUUGGUGAAUGAAAUACCUUUACAGUCCAGAGCCUAACUUAUGUGGCUCUGGAAAGUGUGAGUGAACCUUUUUUAUUCUCCACAUAUUGUAAAUAUGUUUCAACAAUAUACAGUUUUCUUGUAUAGAUUAUAUAUAGGGUCCGCAGUUACUGUAAAUAGGACCUAUACAAGAUUUUAAAGGUAAAAUAUUCCACUGUUUGUGCGCUUUCACCUUUUUUUUCAGUUGACUAUUGCUUUUAUGCUGCUUAUGGGGAUUUAACGAACGCUAAAUGUCCU